GGCCGGGUUCUGCGCAACGGUGCACCGUGAACCGAGUCAGGGCCGGAAGGCAGCAGCUCUCAGCGGAUCGCUCCGUGUGCCGCAGGCGACCUGGCCGCU
Molecule: signal recognition particle RNA, 99 nt
Filed under: Actinomycetota bacterium
Lineage: Bacteria; Bacillati; Actinomycetota
Description: signal recognition particle sRNA small type
Rfam family: Bacterial small signal recognition particle RNA
About the family: The signal recognition particle (SRP) is a universally conserved ribonucleoprotein involved in the co-translational targeting of proteins to membranes.
Source: RNAcentral